This 320-nucleotide ribosomal RNA is filed under the name uncultured eukaryote. Its description in RNAcentral is "partial 18S ribosomal RNA". It matches the Rfam family "Eukaryotic small subunit ribosomal RNA", at positions 1470 to 1796 of the family's 1831-position model. The record is from RNAcentral.
CCCCUAGAUGUUCUGGGCCGCACGCGCGCUACACUGAACAGUUCAACAAGUCUUAACCUUGGCCGAUAGGUCUGGGUAAUCUUUGAACGCUGUUCGUGAUUGGGAUAGACCUUUGCAAUUAUGGGUCUUCAACGAGGAAUUCCUAGUAAACGCAAGUCAUCAGCUUGCAUUGAUUACGUCCCUGCCCUUUGUACACACCGCCCGUCGCACCUACCGAUUGAAUGGUCCGGUGAAAUCUCGGGACGGCGGCUUGGUCGCUUGCGUCCGACUGCUGUAACUUGAUUAAACCAUAUCAUUUAGAGGAAGGUGAAGUCGUAACA